AGAACCUAUUAGGUAAUUAACACGAAUUGUUCAUCCCUGUAUUCUCUCAUUUUUGACAAUUCAGUCUCACUUGUCUGCAUCAAGCUUCAACUCUCUCCACUUCUUCAAUCAGGACUUUAGUAGGUUUUCCCAACAGAUCAGUGUACUCCUGGAAAGGUGACUUUGUGAAGCGGGUUUCCCUCCAGAAGUCAGGAGUCAAGAACCCAUAGGUCCUAAGAAGGCAAUCAAAAGUGGCCUGCAUUGGACACGGAAUGUGGGUCGAUUACAUCAAAAGAGAACGACAACAAAAGAACAAUAAAAUUAAACUAUAAAGAAGCAACCCAUCAAGUAAUCCAUCAUAAAAAAAGCAAGAGCAUUUAGUUCUACUUAUUACUACUAGCAGGUGUUUAGGGACAGCCAACUCAAACCAUUGUCGCAUCUCAUUUAACUAUAUCAUAUUAUAAGCUACUAAUGAACUAUGGUGGAAUGGAAGAAAAGAAAUGGUAAAAAAGAAAAUUUUCAUCUUAAAUAAAAUAAAGCAGACGUGAUUUUUGGGCAUCUUGUACUUUCACGAUCAUAUGCAAAUAAGCAAAGCAUCAGUAAAUGAUGAUGACUGUCAUUAGAUCAAACCAACAAAAUAAAGAAUUCAGGAACAAUCCAAUCAUAAUAGAAACAGUGAGCAGAUGCAUGACAAGUCUUAAGAAAUUCGUUACAUUCAACUAGCAAACAAGAAAUCAUGAAAUUUUUUUUUUGUGUGUGUGUGUGUGGAAUCUUCAGAAAUUCAUUGCAGCCAUUAGCGUAAUAGGACCACAAACCUGACAAUAUAGUCUAACACAAAGAGAGAUUAAACAAAAGAACUUGUGGAAUCGCAAUAAAGCCCAACAAUGAGAAACAAAUAUACAUAACAAUAUAGUCUAAGAAAUAAUAUUUCAGCUCCUAAACAAAAUCAACAAUAUGAGACAUCUAGAAUAAAAAUAAACCAAACAUAACAAACUAUAGAAAAUGUAGCUUCAAUGCUCUUAUAUAAACAAUUAGCUUCCCAUAUAACAGUAUAAGAAAACAUAAGAGAAGAAUAAAAAGAACAGACCUUCACGAAAUUUCCAAGAGUCUUGGUAGAGCCCCUGGAUGAGGUGAACACAUCCUCAAUUCCAGCAAACUGCAAAACCUUCUUGGGGACUCGAGCAGCGACAAUCCCAGCACCACGUGGAGCAGGCCCCAUUCUCACUGUAACGGAUCCACACUUGCCAGUCUCCUUGCAAGGCACUGUAUGUGGCUUUCCGAUCUUGUUACCCCAAUAGCCUCUCCUCACUGGUAUCACAGACAGUUUGGCUAAAAUGAUUGCGCCACGAAUGGCAGUAGCAACCUCCUUCGAACACUUGACUCCCAAUCCGACGUGGCCAUUUCCGUCGCCAACGACCACAAAGGCCUUGAACCUUGUUCGCUGACCCGCACGGGUUUGUUUCUGCACGGGAGUGAUCUUCAUGACCUCAUCCUUGAGGGAUGGACCGAUGAGAGUGUCGACGAUCUGGUGCUCUUUGAUUGGGAGAGAAUGAAGGUAUAUCUGCUCUAAGCUUCUGAUCUUGCCUUCUUUAACCAAACGUCCGAGUUUAGUAACUGGCACCCACUUCUCCUCCUCAUCACGGCGAGCACGACGUCGGCCUCUUCCUCCGCGGUCACCACGAGGGGCACCGCCGAAGCCUCGGCGAAAGGCACCUCUUUCUCCUCCAGCUCCUCUUUCCGCCAUGGUUUUAGCUAAGGGGGGUUAGGGUUGAGAGAAAGAGAAACGAGUAUAGGUCUUCAAGAGAAGAAGCAAAUUGGUGGUGUAUCUAAGGGAAAGUAGAUACGGCGGGGUUAAGAGUUAUAUAUUGCUAGGGUUUUGCAGAUGCGAACGUAGUCUGCAGAACUUAGAAGGGUAAUGGGCUGGGCUAAGAUCACAUAAUUUUAAAUGGGCUGUCUCUGCGGGUCCAACGCUGCUAGAAGUCAAUAGCUACUAUCUUUUCUGCUUGAAGAAUUGGGCCCUGCUUGAAUUCAUCUGAGCUCCUCUCUUUAGAUAUUGAUCUAGUGAUAUUAACUUCCCUGGACUGUUUUUUUCUCUCUUUUUCAUAGGGUGAUAAUACAGGCAUUCGAAUGAACUUUUUGACGAAUUUAUUCAAUUUACUUCAAACAUAAAGUAUUAUGUUCGGUAUUAAUUCUACAUAUCCAGAUAGCCCAGGUUGAUCCAAAGCAGAAAUCACUUUUAUAUUAAUUAAAAUUGUUGGUCAAUCAACAAAAUCGAAUCGAUAAGUUGCAUAUAUAUGUGUAUAACUUUAACUAAAGAAUUAUUUGAGAAGUUACACUGAUAUAGUGACAUAUAGCGGCGAUGAAACUGCGGGUGACUGAUAGAAAAUGGCUAUUCUACGAUUAAAAAAAAAAAAAGUCCAUUGGAAUGAACAAAAAUCUCUUCUGAUAUGGAGUGAGUAUCAAGUCAUAAUGAGCUUCACUUACCCCCAAAACAAAAGAGAGAAUCAUGGAUUUCUAACUUCUGCCUCGAGACUUGGAUAAACAAGUAACAAAAAAAAAUGAAGUGAAAACUGAGAUGCUAAGAAAACUUAGGAAAGCAAACAAAUCCAUUUCCACCUUCGUCAAAACAAAACAAAUACUAGAUCCCGAAAAAUCAAACAAAACCGUUAAAAGAAAAAGAUAGCGUGCUUAAAGUCUUAAGAACUAUGGGGUAAUUAACAUGAAUUGUUCAUCCCUAUAUUUUCUCAUAUUUGAGAACUCAGUCUCAUUUGUCUGCGUCAAGCUUCAACCCUCUCCACUUCUUCAAUCAGGACUUUUGUAGGUUUUCCCAACAGAUCAGUGUACUCCUGGAAAGGAGACUUUGUAAAGCGGGUUUCCCUCCAGAAGUCAGGAGUCAAGAACCCGUAGGUCCUAAGAAGGCAAUCAAAGGUGGCCUGCAUUGGACAUGGAAAGUGCAUAGAUUCAAUCAAAAGAGAAUGACAACAAAAAACAAUAUAAUUGAACUAUAAAGAAGCAUCUCAUCAAGUAAUUCAUCAUUGUGAAGAGAAUACCUAGUCCAUAAUUCAAAAGCAUGAGCAUUUUUUAGACACUGGCAGAAAGAAAUCAUUACUUCUUUCAUAAGAAGGCUAAUAGUAUCUAUUUCUCAACAGCACCAGUAAUGGAAAUCCAUAACUAUAUGGUAAACAAAAGCAUUCCGUUCAACUUCCUAAUACCUGGCAGGUGUUCGUGGAAAACCAACUCAAUUCGUAGUGGCAUUUCUUCCAAAUAAAUAAUAUUACAAGCUAUUAAUAACUUAUGGAAAAAUGGAAAGAAGAAUUUUCAUCUUAAAUAGGGCUGAAAUGAUGUUAAGUAGCUUCUACUUUCAGAUUCAUGCACAAAUCUACAAAUUAAGGAAUAUUCUAUUACAUUCAACUAGCAAACAAGAAACAAUUAAAUUCUGAUUUUUAGGAAUUUCCAGAAAUUCAUUGCAAGCCAUUAAACUAAUGGGAACACAAACCGAUAAUAAAAAGAAAACACGAACUUGUGGAAUGACAAUCAAUCAGAAGACACGUGUAUUUAGACCCACUUAAAAGCCAAUAAACUUAAGCUUAGCUAUGCUAAUUCGAAGAAAUUCUAAUAUUGUAGAAAUACAACUUUCAAACGAUAAACUGUCCAAAGUUUAUGUAAGACUUAGAAAUUACAAUAUAGUCUAAGAAAUAAGAAACAGAUAUAAAUAUCCAUAUAGUCUAAGAAAUAACAAUUCUGCUCCUUUUCCUCUCAUAUUGAUUGAUCAUGCAAGAUAUAAUGCUAAACAAAAUAAGCAUUACGAGACAACUAAAAUAAAAAUAAAAAUCAACCCAAGAUAUCAAACUAGAGAAAAUGUAGCUGCACAACACUUAUAUAUACAAUUAGCUUCGCACAUAACAGUAUAAGAAAACAAAAGAGAAGAAUAAAAAGAACAAACCUUCACAAAGUUUCCAAGUGUCUUAGUAGAGCCCCUGGAUGAGGUGAACACAUCCUCAAUUCCAGCAAACUGCAAAACCUUCUUAGGGACUCGAGCAGCGACAAUCCCAGCACCACGUGGAGCAGGCACCAUUCUCACUGUAACGGAUCCACACUUGCCAGUCACCUUGCAAGGCACU
This 4100-nucleotide long non-coding RNA is filed under the name Jatropha curcas. RNAcentral's name for it is "long non-coding RNA (JCUR_LNC003213)". Lineage: Eukaryota; Viridiplantae; Streptophyta; Magnoliopsida; Malpighiales; Euphorbiaceae. The record is from RNAcentral.